UUAUUUCACCCAAUCCCAAAAUGAGGUUAGUCCCUUGGGCCCAAGGGUCGGACCCAACAACAAGCACGGUCUCGUUAGCUCUGCAACAUAUGAUGGCUUCAUCAGGCAGAAAGAACUAAUCGCCCAACGAGAGCUGGAGUUGAUUCCUACACCUGAGCCCUUUGGAGACCUUGAGGUUACCACAGAGAAAGAGGGUCUGGGUGAAGAGGAGGAUCAGUAUGAGAUUGGAACCUAUUGAAAGGUCCACUAUCCAAUUUCUAGAAUUGGAAGGCGCUGUUGUCGUGGUGGCCCAUAAUAGACUUGCUCCAAGCAGCAGCACACUCUAACUCACUGAGGUUGGUGCCGGUCCUGAUGUCCCAGCACACAAGGAGGAUGACCCUACAACAAAGUGACAUAAGCACCACAUCUGCUCCUGGCGAACUCAACCAGUGAAGGGACUACCACAACACUGAGACGAUAUCUUAAGAGAUGCCUGUUAAUCUCUUUGAAAAAUAAAUGAUUUAAUGCUA
This is a long non-coding RNA of Oncorhynchus tshawytscha (Chinook salmon), 509 nucleotides long. RefSeq lists it as uncharacterized. The transcript has 3 exons. NCBI's taxonomy places the organism in Eukaryota, Metazoa, Chordata, Actinopteri, Salmoniformes, Salmonidae. The record is from RefSeq and is a predicted model, not a curated record.